UGACGCUAUAAAAAGCCGCGGUCGCAUGCGCUCGUCGCAUUUCGCCGAACGCGGGGCUGAGCCAGGGCUACCGCGUUCCUGAGCUUUUGUGAUGGGAGAAGCCCUGCUCCGGGAAAACCUCGGCACCCUGGGCGGUCUACUCAGCUUCUGGAUCGAGCUUGAAGUUGGAGUGAAGUGGAGUGGAGUGGAGUGACGAUUCUGUUGCACGUACAGACUGAAACACUUCCUAUUACGAGUUUCUCCAUACGUAUUAGAUAGGCCCGGUUCCUCUCAUCACAAGACCUCCGCUGCAUGCCGCGUCCGCCUUGCAGCCGCUGCAAGAGCGGCCGCCACGCGGACGCCAAGCCACCGGCGACGUAGCUCAAGCCACCGCGCCGCCCUGUGGCCCCCUGGCCUGCGACGCCUGCCCCCGCUCAGUAGUAGGCGCCUCAGUAGCGGAGCACAGGUGUUGUGUGUAAUUAAAAUAGUAGUAGUAAUUCAAAAUAGUCUUAAUUCAAAAAAAAAAUAUUUUUAAGUAAUAAUGGAUAAAAUAGGUUCAAUUAAUAGUAUUGUUUCAAACAAGGGAUAAUAGGAGACGGCUGCACUUGUUGUAUUAUACCUAAGUAGAUAAUAGUAGAUAUAAAUAAUAGUAGAUAUAAUAAGUAAUAUAAUUAUAACAGAUUAGUGAAACUUAACUAAUAAUACAGCCAAUCACCGGACAAUGACACCACCGGACGAGACUUACCUACACACUGGAGUUUACAUUGUACAGCCAUUACUGACAAAAAUUUAUUUAAUGCGUACAUUUUGAGAUUACUCGCCACUUUUAGUUCUGUGUCAACUGUCAUAUCAAAAGUAGGUACGGUUCAUCUUUAAAUUAAAAUCGUAGUUUUGACAUGAGAGUUGGCACAUUGAGUUAAAAUGGCAAGUGUGAUCUCAAAGUGUAGCAUCCACUACUCUUAUUAGGCAAGCAAAGCAGUGCAUAAAUUUUUUUUAGUAAGGCUAUUUGGACUGAUUGUUCAGUCGCCAAAGAAUUUUUAACCAAGGGUUAAAGUUCUUUUCCGUCUAAGGGCUGAUUUUUUAAAUGGAGAUUGAAAAAUCAGCCUUAAAAUAACAAAUUAUUCGUUACCAAAAAUUUUUUAGCCACUAAACAAUGGGGGCAGCCCUAGUAGGUACCCUACUUGUGGCAAAUACGGGACAUAUCCACAGAAACGAACAGCUUCAGCUGGCGAUUUCAAUCAAUAAAAGUAUUAAUACACUUACUAUAAAUAGUAAAUAAUGUGUAAUUUUGUAAAAUAUACACCUAUUUAUAAAAAAAUGGGUGUUUUCGAUUAACUGUGACGCGAUGGAUUGUGGUAGCUACGCCUUGUUUUUACGCUCAAUUUGAAGUUCUCGUUAGCCCUUGACUUUUACGCUUAAGAUGAAGCUCUUUUGUCAGCCACUUGGAAUUUUGGUUUUCGAUUUUUUUUUUUAAGUUAAGUAGUUACAUAGGUAAAAAAUUGGUAUUCAAAAAAAUAUGUAUACUUAUAGGUGAUUCAGAGGACUCCACGAUGGCCCAGUAUUUUGUUUUUUUUUUUUACGCUCUUCGAGUUGCAGAGCAUUUUUGUUCGCCGUGAACUUGGCAUUUUGGUUCUAUAGUAUGAUUAGAAGCCCCGUUACAAUUUAUUAGCAGGGAAACGUUCCCCUUUUUUACGCUUUAGAUGAAGCUCUUUUGUCAGCCACUUGGAAUUUUGGUUUUCGAUUUUUUUUUUUAGUUAAGUAGUUACAUAGGUAAAAAAAUAGGUAUUCAAAAAAAUAUGUAUACUUAUAGGUGAUUCAGAGGACUCCACGAUGGCCCAGUAUUUUGUUUUUUUUACGCUCUUCGAGUUGCAGAGCAUUUUUGUUCGCCGUGAACUUGGCAUUUUGGUUCUAUAGUAUGAUUAGAAGCCCCGUUACAAUUUAUUAGCAGGGAAACGUUCACUUUUUUACGCUUUAGAUGAAGCUCUUUUGUCAGCCACUUGGAAUUUUGGUUUUCGAUUUUUUUUUUAAGUUAAGUAGUUACAUAGGUAAAAAAUAGGUAUUCAAAAAAAUAUGUAUACUUAUAGGUAAUUCAGAGGACUCCACGAUGGCCCAGUAUUUUGUUUUACGCUCUUCGAGUUGCAGAGCAUUUUUGUUCGCCGUGAACUUGGCAUUUUGGUUCUAUAGUAUGAUUAGAAGCCCCGUUACAAUUUAUUAGCAGGGAAACGUUCCCUUUUUUACGCUUUAGAUGAAGCUCUUUUGUCAGCCACUUGGAAUUUUGGUUUUCGAUUUUUUUUUUUAAGUUAAGUAGUUACAUAGGUAAAAAAUAGGUAUUCAAAAAAAUAUGUAUACUUAUAGGUAAUUCAGAGGACUCCACGAUGGCCCAGUAUUUUGUUUUUUUUACGCUCUUCGAGUUGCAGAGCAUUUUUGUUCGCCGUGAACUUGGCAUUUUGGUUCUAUAGUAUGAUUAGAAGCCCCGUUACAAUUUAUUAACAGGGAAACGUUCACUUUUUUACGCUUUAGAUGAAGCUCUUUUGUCAGCCACUUGGAAUUUUGGUUUUCGAUUUUUUUUUUAAGUUAAGUAGUUACAUAGGUAAAAAAUAGGUAUUCAAAAAAAUAUGUAUACUUAUAGGUAAUUCAGAGGACUCCACGAUGGCCCAGUAUUUUGUUUUACGUUCUUCGAGUUGCAGAGCAUUUUUGUUCGCCGUGAACUUGGCAUUUUGGUUCUAUAGUAUGAUUAGAAGCCCCGUUACAAUUUAUUAGCAGGGAAACGUUCCCUUUUUUACGCUUUAGAUGAAGCUCUUUUGUCAGCCACUUGGAAUUUUGGUUUUCGAUUUUUUUUUUUAAGUUAAGUAGUUACAUAGGUAAAAAAUAGGUAUUCAAAAAAAUAUGUAUACUUAUAGGUAAUUCAGAGGACUCCACGAUGGCCCAGUAUUUUGUUUUUUUUACGCUCUUCGAGUUGCAGAGCAUUUUUGUUCGCCGUGAACUUGGCAUUUUGGUUCUAUAGUAUGAUUAGAAGCCCCGUUACAAUUUAUUAGCAGGGAAACGUUCCCUUUUUUACGCUUUAGAUGAAGCUCUUUUGUCAGCCACUUGGAAUUUUGGUUUUCGAUUUUUUUUUUUAGUUAAGUAGUUACAUAGGUAAAAAAAUAGGUAUUCAAAAAAAUAUGUAUACUUAUAGGUGAUUCAGAGGACUCCACGAUGGCCCAGUAUUUUGUUUUUUUUUUACGCUCUUCGAGUUGCAGAGCAUUUUUUGUUAGCCACGAACUUGGCAUUUUGGUUCUGUAUAUUUUUUUAGGAGUCCCGUUACAAUUCAUCAGCAGUGAAACAUGUUACUAACAUUUUUUUACUCUAUUAUUAGCUUUAAGAAACACCGUUUGUUUCAUUUCUCAUUUUUUUCAGAUUCAGAUUCAGAUUUAUUUAUUUGCUUUCAUGUACAUUUACAUUAAUUGAUGGUGGGUGCUUAAAGCUAAAAGCUAAAUACAUGAGACCCUGUCAGGGCAUGGCAAAUACAAUUUUAGGUACAGUAAAAUGGUUAAUAUUAAAGAUACAAUAAGAAUAGGAUUAAAAUUAUUAAAAUUAUCAUUACUAGAUAUUAAAUAUUAUUCAUUCGCAUUCUUAUAUAUUAUUAUAUUAUGAGAAUGUCGACUAGAAUGUAUUAUAAAGCAAGAUUAGUACAAAAUAAAGAUAAGGUCAAAGUAUAGUAGUAUUAAAUAAUUGCUGUCAUGGUCUGAUUGUCUCUGUCAAUAGAAUAAAAUAUUUAAAAUAGUUACUGUAAGAAUUUAAUUUAGUUAUGUUGCAAUUAUUUAAUCUUACACGGUCUUAUAGUUAAAUGUCAAUAUCAGAUGUCAUUUACAGGUGCAUCACGCUAUUGAGGUUUAUGCAGUUAGAAAUUUUUACUUUAUUACACUUUUUUUCGUA
Molecule: RNA transcript, 3894 nt
Organism: Maniola jurtina (meadow brown)
Lineage: Eukaryota; Metazoa; Arthropoda; Insecta; Lepidoptera; Nymphalidae
Gene name: zinc finger protein 627-like
Exons: 5
Source: RefSeq, a predicted model, not a curated record